GACGAACCGUGCGAACGUUAUUCGGAAUCACUGGGCUUAAAGCGCGUGUAGGCGGCCCGGCACGUCCGUCGCUGAAAUCCCCCGGCUCAACCGGGGAAGGGGCGCGGAUACGACCGGGCUGGAGGGGGGUAGGGGGCGCCGGAACUCACGGUGGAGCGGUGAAAUGCGUUGAGAUCGUGAGGAACGCCGUGGCGAAAGCGGGCGCCUGGACCC
This 213-nucleotide ribosomal RNA is filed under the name uncultured bacterium. RNAcentral's name for it is "partial 16S ribosomal RNA". It matches the Rfam family "Bacterial small subunit ribosomal RNA", at positions 524 to 736 of the family's 1533-position model. The record is from RNAcentral.